AGUGAACGCUGGCGGUAGGCCUAACACAUGCAAGUCGAACGGCAGCACAGUAAGUUCUUUCUCUUACGGGUUGCGAGUGGCGGACGGGUGACGAAUACAUCGUACUCUACUUUUUCGUGGGACUCUUGGAAGGGAUACUUACGCUAACACCGCAUACGACGUACCGUGGAAUUCACGGGAUCUUCGCACUUUCCUCACUACAAGGAGCCGAUGUCGGAUUAGCUGGUUGGGGGGGUAAAGCCCCACCAAGGCGAGGCUCCGUAGCGGGUCGGUGAGGUUGUUCGCCCACACUGGAACGGGGACAGGGUCCAGAUCCCUACGGGAGGCAGCAGAGGGGAAUAUUGGACAUUGGGCGAAAGCCUGACCCAGCAAUACCGCGUGGGUGAGGAAGGCCUUCGGGUGGUAAAGCCCGUUUUUUGGGAAAGAAAAGUAGCAGGGUAAAACCCCGAUGUUCUGACGGUACCCAAAGAGAAAGCAACGGCUAACUACGUG
This 492-nucleotide ribosomal RNA is filed under the name uncultured bacterium. Its description in RNAcentral is "partial 16S ribosomal RNA". It matches the Rfam family "Bacterial small subunit ribosomal RNA", at positions 29 to 507 of the family's 1533-position model. The record is from RNAcentral.